This 82-nucleotide transfer RNA is filed under the name Sinorhizobium fredii NGR234. RNAcentral describes it as "tRNA-Thr (TGT) (tRNA-Thr-TGT-2-1)". Lineage: Bacteria; Pseudomonadati; Pseudomonadota; Alphaproteobacteria; Hyphomicrobiales; Rhizobiaceae. The record is from RNAcentral.
AUCGUCCUGAACGGCGACGAAAUGUCACUUUUGCUGAUUUGUAAUCAGUAGGUCGGGAGUUCGAGUCUCUCUGGGGGCACCA